CGGCUCCCUGUCACCGGGAGUGGGCGGGCCAUUUCUUGUUCUCUCUCCCGCUCUCGGAAGCUUUCGUCUCGUGGGUGCGAAAGGUAACCGAAGCGGCUCAGGAAGGCAGCUGUCACUGAGCCCCUGGAACAGAGCGAGAGUAUCGUAGUGGGCAGCAGUCAGUGACAGGUGUAACCUCUGUGGAUGACAGCAACAGUUACUGGAGGAUACGGGGGAAGAGUGCCACAGUGUGUGAGAGGGGAACCCCCAUCAAGUGUGGCCAGCCCAUCCGGCUGACACAUGUCAACACUGGCCGAAACCUCCAUAGUCACCACUUCACUUCACCUCUUUCUGGAAACCAGUUGCUCUGUAAGGUGAUAUUGUGAUCAUUUUAUAGAGGAGAAAACAAAGGCUCAAAGGAUUUACAGAAGAAGGGAUCAAGUUGAGAUUCAAGGAAGUGAGUGCUUUUGGUGAGGAAGGUGAAGGUGAUUAUCUGGAUGACUGGACAGUGCUCUGUAAUGGACCCUACUGGGUGAGAGAUGGUGAGGUGCGGUUCAAACACUCUUCCACUGAGGUACUGCUGUCUGUCACAGGAGAACAAUAU
This 583-nucleotide long non-coding RNA is filed under the name Homo sapiens (human). Its description in RNAcentral is "non-protein coding lnc-SDF2-3:2". The record is from RNAcentral. Lineage: Eukaryota; Metazoa; Chordata; Mammalia; Primates; Hominidae.